Molecule: long non-coding RNA, 237 nt
Filed under: Nicotiana benthamiana
Lineage: Eukaryota; Viridiplantae; Streptophyta; Magnoliopsida; Solanales; Solanaceae
Description: long non-coding RNA (NBEN_LNC019102)
Source: RNAcentral
UGACACGCAAAUGACUUCAACCCAAAAAGCUUCAGAACAACACUAAGAUCCAAACACAUUUUUUAAGACCCUUGAAAAGCAUCCAUGGACUUUCAGUAAUUCAACACCUCAGAAAAACCAAACAAGGCCUUCAAUGGAACAGUGAAUAUGGGAUUGCUGGGGUUCCAGAAAUAGUUUUUGGAAAUUUUAGUUUUAAAAUUCGAAGAGGUUUGUAUAGAUCCUCUUCAGAUUGUUGAG